UCUGCUGAUCUUGGAGUGAGUGAAGAUGAGGAUUUGAAGAGGCCAAACUGCAAUGGUACUCUUUUAGGUAAGUAGGAGACUGCCUAAUCCUAGAAGAUCUUCUAAGGUGCUGAGUAGGAGAAAGGUUGGGCAGUGGCACAGUUUUGGAAGAAGGUGUGGGAUUGAGCCUAGAAGAUCUCCGAAGGGGCUGAAUAUUGGUAGGCUGAUUUGGCAUUGCUGGUGCAAGAGAGAGUGAAGGAGACUGAGGGAAAUAAACUGAGUUAUGGGGUGUGCCAUCAUGCGUGCCAGUGGGUGUGCCACUUGAGACAAAUUCUUCAGCAUAGGGUGCAGUAAUGGUGUUAGGACUAAUUGGAAGUGAGUAUUCAGGGACAACAACUGAUGAGGGAAGAAAUAUAGUGUCACAAGAUGAAAAUGG
Molecule: long non-coding RNA, 415 nt
Filed under: Phoenix dactylifera (date palm)
Lineage: Eukaryota; Viridiplantae; Streptophyta; Magnoliopsida; Arecales; Arecaceae
Description: long non-coding RNA (PDAC_LNC007457)
Source: RNAcentral